Molecule: ribosomal RNA, 475 nt
Filed under: Prorocentrum redfieldii
Lineage: Eukaryota; Dinophyceae; Prorocentrales; Prorocentraceae
Description: partial large subunit ribosomal RNA
Rfam family: Eukaryotic large subunit ribosomal RNA
Source: RNAcentral
AAAAGAGCAUCAACGAGGGUGAGAGUCCCGUUUGUCAUCUGCAGACCCCCGUGCACGGCGUACCUUCCAAGAGUCGCGUUCCUCGGAAUUGGAGCGUAAAUUGGGUGGUAAAUUUCAUCUGAAGCUAAAUAUUGGUUCGAGACCGAUAGCAAACAAGUACCAUGAGGGAAAGGUGAAAAGGACUUUGAAAAGAGAGUUAAAAGUGCCUGAAAUUGCUGAAAGGGAAGCGAAUGGAACCAGUGCGCUUGGUGAGAUUGUCACAUGGCUUCCAUGUGGUGGUUCUUGCCUUGUGUGUCAUUGCCAGUUUGCGUUCGAGGAAAACUCCAGAGACAUGGUAGCCUGGCCCCGGCUGGGUGAAUGUGUCUGGUAGAACUCAUUCGCGUACUGUUUUCUGUGUCUGGUUGCAGUGCACUGUGCCAUCUGGGGGUGGCUGGAGAGGGAGUUUACUCCACUUCUUUGGCUAACUUCUGGGUGA